CAAAUUAUGGAAAGGAGUGCGCUGAUGAAUGCGCGCAGAGAAAUGAGAAAUAUUUCUGGUGCCAUCUUAAAUUAGGAGGCUGGGGAUAUUGUUCCCCAGAUCUUAUUUAUAAAACAGAAAACCAGUGCAGGGGUUCUGAGCUAUUAGCGAUACAAGGAACUUGCCAACAGUACGUAAACUGUUUAUCCGGCCAACCCAUAAUCUUCUCCUGUCUGGCAGAUCUACAUUUUGAUUAUAUUAAUAAGAUUUGUACUUUCCGGAAGGACGCCAGAUGUGUUGGUGACCCUUUAUAAAUCAGAAGCUUUCCCUUUAAUUGCGGCCAUUUUUAUAAAAUAGAAAUUUAUUUUUA
Long non-coding RNA from Eurytemora carolleeae, 349 nucleotides. RefSeq lists it as uncharacterized. The transcript has 5 exons. NCBI's taxonomy places the organism in Eukaryota, Metazoa, Arthropoda, Copepoda, Calanoida, Temoridae. The record is from RefSeq and is a predicted model, not a curated record.